AUACGGAGGGUGCAAGCGUUAUCCGGAAUCACAGGGUUUAAAGGGUGCGUAGGCGGCCAUAUUAGUCAGUAGUGAAAGGUUGCAGCUUAACUGUAAGACUGCUAUUGAAACUGUAUGGCUUGAAUUAGGAUGAGGUAGGCGGAAUGUGUCAUGUAGCCGUGAAAUGCUUAGAUAUGUCAUAGAACACCGAUUGCGUAGGCAGCUUACUAGACCUAUAUUGACGCUGAGGCACGAAAGCGUGGGGAGCGAACAGGAUUAGAAACCCUAGUAGUCC
RNAcentral lists this ribosomal RNA (274 nucleotides) under uncultured bacterium. RNAcentral's name for it is "partial 16S ribosomal RNA". It matches the Rfam family "Bacterial small subunit ribosomal RNA", at positions 523 to 796 of the family's 1533-position model. The record is from RNAcentral.